CGAAGGCUUUCAUUCUCGCUACCCAAACUCUAUCAACCCUUUGCAACCCUCUUGAGCCGGUUACUUUUCUUUGAUUACCAUCUUUGGAUCCUAGAAGUUUUUAUGAAAAAAAAAAGAGAAAAGAAAAUGAAAAAAAAACAACAAAAGAAAAUCAAAACAAAGUGAAUUGAACUACAUUCGACUUGAUUCCGAAAGUAUACGUAGGCAGCCUCUCUCUGGGGUUCAGUCACACCAAAAUAAAAAUCAACAUUUCCAAAAAAAAAAAAA
This 267-nucleotide long non-coding RNA is filed under the name Nicotiana tabacum (common tobacco). RNAcentral describes it as "long non-coding RNA (NTAB_LNC017678)". The record is from RNAcentral. Lineage: Eukaryota; Viridiplantae; Streptophyta; Magnoliopsida; Solanales; Solanaceae.